Molecule: unclassified non-coding RNA, 276 nt
Filed under: Hevea brasiliensis (rubber tree)
Lineage: Eukaryota; Viridiplantae; Streptophyta; Magnoliopsida; Malpighiales; Euphorbiaceae
Source: RNAcentral
GAGAAAUGAUUGUCGCAAUUAAUGUGGUUUUGGGCACUUACUAAUUUUUGUGAUUUUAUGUAUGCAAUGGACUAUUCUUGUUGGCUUUUGUUGACUGAGAUUUUUACAUUUCUUGUUAACUUUGUGCAAAACAUGUCUGAAAUAUAGUUCCACACCAAAUGUUUCGUUGGUCUUUCAUUUUUUUUUAAUUGUUUAUAGGAAUCUUGAUCAUCAUGGUAGUUUUGAAUGAAGAUUACUUCUUUCUGUAUAUUGUCAAAGCAUUUGAUGAAACAAAAC